This is a long non-coding RNA of Leopardus geoffroyi (Geoffroy's cat), 171 nucleotides long. RefSeq lists it as uncharacterized. Lineage: Eukaryota; Metazoa; Chordata; Mammalia; Carnivora; Felidae. The transcript is spliced from 2 exons. The record is from RefSeq and is a predicted model, not a curated record.
UGUAGGCAGGAUGGAGCCCCAGCCUGACUCCACCACCACCACGCCCAGGAUCUCCCCCUUGUGCUUCUCCAGCUGCAGCUGCAAGGAAAUCAGCAGUGAGAGAAACACCUCCUGGGUGCUGAGCUCCAGUAGAUGAUAAUAGCAGCAUUAAAAGGCACAUUUUCAAGGUCA